Molecule: ribosomal RNA, 254 nt
Filed under: uncultured bacterium
Lineage: Bacteria
Description: partial 16S ribosomal RNA
Rfam family: Bacterial small subunit ribosomal RNA
Source: RNAcentral
UACGGGGGGAGCAAGCGUUGUUCGGAUUUACUGGGCGUAAAGGGCGCGUAGGCGGCCUGUGCAAGUCGGUUGUGAAAUCUCCGGGCUUAACUCGGAACGGUCAACUGAUACUGCUCGGCUAGAGUGCAGAAGGGGCAACUGGAAUUCUUGGUGUAGCGGUGAAAUGCGUAGAUAUCAAGAGGAACACCUGCGGCGAAGGCGGGUUGCUGGGCUGACACUGACGCUGAAGCGCGAAAGCUAGGGGAGCGAGCGGG